UUAAAUAUUAUUAUAUUACUCAGACAUCACUAAACACAGAGUUUAGGUCCUCUGGCAGGCGCAGUCAGCCAGAGCCAACGCCCGGAGGCGGCCUGCCAAAGCAACAAAGGUAAGGUACACGGUUGUGGGUAUUGAACCCAUUUUACGAAAAAACGGGGCUUCAUAGUCUUUUUCAAUAAUGAUCCUUCCGCAGGUUCACCUACGGAAA
RNAcentral lists this unclassified non-coding RNA (208 nucleotides) under uncultured fungus. RNAcentral's name for it is "sequence contains ITS1, 5.8S rRNA gene". The record is from RNAcentral. Lineage: Eukaryota; Fungi.